AGAUAGAGGUUGCGUGAUUCAACAGUAGCUUUUCUGAUGUGGCAGGCACAAGAGAGGAAAAGGGAAAGGGGAGAGCGCCGAAAGAGGAGAGAGCCUGUGGCUCGACUCUUGGGCAUGCGGUUAAGAACCGUAUGACUGUCAUCUAGUUGAGGAUGGGGCGCUAUCGGU
Molecule: non-coding RNA, 168 nt
Filed under: uncultured Eisenbergiella sp.
Lineage: Bacteria; Bacillati; Bacillota; Clostridia; Lachnospirales; Lachnospiraceae
Description: Lysine riboswitch
Rfam family: Lysine riboswitch aptamer
About the family: Riboswitches are metabolite binding domains within certain messenger RNAs that serve as precision sensors for their corresponding targets. Allosteric rearrangement of mRNA structure is mediated by ligand binding, and this results in modulation of gene expression.
Source: RNAcentral